UUCAGUUCUGUGCGUAACGGAGUAUAGCACAGAACGUAUGUCUAAACAUAACGCACCGCACAAAACAGGUAUAUGUGCGGUUCGUUCAUGCGUGUGGUUGUCACGUGAGUGAUGGUCACUCAGGUGGACAUAGGCGGGAAUUUGCACGGGGUGUUCAUUGUUUGGUCAGUUCUACGCUAGACUUCGAUCAGUAAACUUGUGUUCGUCUACAAAUCCUGCAUCGUGUUGUCGACUUUAGCAGAACACAGGGUGUCCAUGCUGCAAGAUUUGGAACGCAUCAUAGAAAAGAUAAGUGCUAAAAGAAAAUCUGUUAAAUCCGUUAUACUGAAUCUCGAGCAUAGUAUCGAGUGUUACGAAGUAGUAACAGAGUUGAAACGAUGUAUAUUUCAAGUAACAAUUUCAGCACUAGAGAAAGCCGAGCAAUUUACAAAUAGAAAUAUUGAUGGCACGUGACCGAAAAUUCACAGGUCAUUAAUGGUAGAACACGAUAAAAGCUUUCGAACUUACUGGGAAAUAAAUUGCUAUUCUUUGUGGUGUUGUAUACAUUCUAUAUGUAUAUGUGUAAAUGUUUUACGAGUCUGAUGACGUAAUGUUAUUUGUAGAAAAAUACAAGGUAGAGGCGAUGGCAUAUAAAAAGGCGGAAACAUAACGCCACGCGGCGCUCUUGAUGGGUCAUAUCAGAAGCCGGAAGCUUCAUCUAACAUCGCAACACAAGGUGCUGAAACUCAAUUACCAUUGAGACGCACUGGACUAUGUUUCGCAUGUGGCGAACCGGGUCAUCGGAAAGGAGCAGCUGGCAGUUCAGCAAACAGCUCGACCAAUAAGUUAAGUUAAUUAUGUAUAGAACCCCGUUAUCAGAAAAUGGGUAGUUUCGUGUUCGUCGGAAAACGUAACGUACAGAAAGUUCCUAAAAUUCGAACGUGAUCAAAAGGAUCCAAGUAUAGUUCGCCGGUAAGUUGAAGGAAGGCCAACGCGGUUAAGUAGCAGAAGACUACUGAUAGUAAGUACAUUUUCGAUGUAGUAAAUGGCGGUUAUAAGUAUAUUUUUUCCGUCGGAAAACGGUAACGUACAAAAAGAUCUGUAUCAAUGUAUCAAAAGGAUCUUAGUAUAAAACUGGAUCAAAAGGAUCAUAGUAUAGAAAUUGAUGCUAGAAGCUCGCCGUUAAAAAGAACGAAAGCCCAUGUAGCCAAGCUGUAGCAGGCUACGGAUGGUUGUUACAUUUAAGAUGUAGUAAAUUGCGGUUAUAUGUUUCCUUUUCCGUCGGAAAACGGUAACGUACAGAGAUAAAAGGAGCAAUUGAUCAAAAGGAUCAUAGUAUAGAAAUAUAUCAAAAAGAAAAAAAAAUCAUAGAAUAAAAAACCGGAAGUUUGUCGGUAAGUAGACUAAAAAACCCACGUGACAUUUAUCCUGUUGUUAAUACGCCCGUUAAUACGUUUAUAGUCGUAUUUAAUAAGAAUGGGAGGCCUCGAUAUCUUUAAAAUUAUUAUUUAUUUAUUUGUUCUACUUUCGAUAUUAGAGGAGCGUAUCAUGAUAUUGAUACAUUCACAAACGGUGUGGUUUGAGCUAUCAAGAGAAUAGCAGGCAGUGUUAGGUUGUUAUAAGCUUAUAUUUGGCACGAUAACGGCCGAUCAUAUAUUUAUUUAUUUGUUCUACUUUCGAUAUUAGAGGAGCGUAUCAUGAUAUUGAUACAUUCACAAACGGUGUGGUUUGAGCUAUCAAGAGAAUAGCAGGCAGUGUUAGGUUGUUAUAAGCUUAUAUUUGACACGAUAACGGCCGAUCAUAUAUUUACUAAAACUCGUUAAAACUAAAAUGAGGUGUACUAGCAUUCUUACGUCAAAUUUACUUAAAAUAGUUAUUUGCUUUUGUGAUGAUGGCAUACAUCACAGUGUAGAAUAUGAAAAACCAUUAUAUGCUAGUGACUAGACGAGUUUGGAUGUUAACUCGCUGAAGAAACAGUAUUUUGAUUCCUUCUCAGAGAGUAGAAUGGCUCGGGCAUGUGAUCGAUAUGCAUAAAAUGCAGUUUUUCAUAAUUAAAAAUUGAGUAGCUAGGCUAAAAAAAAGUAUUGAUUCGAUGAUCUAUCUAAUUUAUCAAACGAAAGAAAAAUUAGUACCAAAAGAUAAAUUAAUAGCUAGUCUUGUAGGGCAGAUAAUUUCCUUUCAGAGUGUGAUUGUAAAUAAAGUUUGGUGAUAACAAUGCAUAUAUAAAAUUGCAUAAAUACCAGAGCUAGUUGGAAAGCUCCCGUUAUUGUAACGUUACAAGUUAUUUACAAACUUAGAUUAUGGAAAGAAAGCACUAGGCAGUUAAUCAACGGUGGAAAAGAUUUCAAACACAAUCAGUUGUUUUUGUGUAAUAUAGUUGCUGAUGCAAGUACCACAAGUAAUGGUUUAGGGAGGUUUUAUAGAAAGUUGUAGCUUUAAUGUAGAUAUAGGCGAAAUGACUGUCAAGCUAACGAUUUUCAUAAAAAUAAAAAAAAAGCAAAUUUAUUUUCAACUUUGUUUUAUUCCAUUGACGGAGAGAGUAAAGGUAUGUACUCGUGAUCUUUGAGACCAGAAAAUGAGAAAAUUGGAAUGAACAUGAUCUUAAUAAAAAGAGCAACCUGUUCCCGGAAGUGAACAGAUUAUUGACGAAAAGAGAAAAGUUAUUCCUGGAAGUGAUUACUAUAUUACACUGUUAAAAUCAAGGAGGUACACUGCCAGUGUUUCUAUAAACGAAACAGGUAAUGCAUAUUGUGAUUUAAUAUGAAAUCAAUACAUUAAGCCACCGGAAGUUGGUUUUCAAGAUAAACCGGAUAAGUAUUCCGUCGUUCAUCAUAACGUAAGUAAAAAUUUCUUAUGAUCAAGAAAAUGCCUUGCAUACGGCUAGAAAAGGUAUGUUAUUGCUCCCCGAAGUGAGCAGAAAGAGUUUGCUAUGGUCCCCGGAAGUGGACAUAGAGCCCAGUAGAUUGCUCCCGGAAGUGAGCAGAGAUGCUCCAUGAAGAGAGCAGAGAGUAUGCUAUGGUCCCCGGGUGUUAUGUUAUAUGAAAUGUUUUAAAUGCUUUGCAAAAUUCGUACAUCAAAGUGUAUUCAGACAAUAAAAUGUAAAAUCUAUAUUAUUGAAUGGUAGUCAAAAUAAAUAGCUUUAGAUUUAAAUAUGUUGUGUGGAUACUGGAUUCAAUGAAAAGAGGCAGUGGGUGCCUUAGUUCAAUAUGGGGAAACAAUGUAAAAUGGUUAGUUCAGAAACUAGGUUGGUAUCAAUCUGUAUUAAUAAGAUGAUAUCGGAGAAAGCAAAAUGCAUCCUUGUUGUUCCAAAAAGGGGCAGUUCGCCUUAUUGGCUAAUGUUGAUUUGUCAUACGGACAUUUAAGAGAUAUUGUGAAAUAUUGCCAAAAGUUUGGUAGAGACUGUAUGAUUCCAGGUUGUUUUGUUAACACUAGAUUAUCAUUAAAUAAGAUAGCGUUAAGGUGCAUAUCACAAUACAGUUAUUGAUGUAUAGUACAUAUGUUUGACAGGAAAUGUUUUGAGAGGUACUCUGAAGGAGCGAUUAGAGGGCUCGGGCUUGCAUGGGCUUCGAAGAGAUUAGAUGGCGGACAGAAUGGCUAAGUAAAUACUUAGAACAAUCAAGAGCAGACAAUACGGUGAAGAAAAGAAUUCGUCAUGUGCACAUUUCAAAUACUGUGAAGAAAAUGUAGUCGCCAUGCCAGCCUUACAUAUAUCAGUAGUAAUGUACAUGGCUCAAUUGAUGGAUCGAGGAAAUCUAAUAACGUUUUUUACAUCUGUGUUUUACAGUAUUAAAUGGAUCCAUUCUAUUAAUAGUGUACAUGAUCCAAAGAAAGAUUUAACAUACUAUUAUAAGAAGCUUCAAAGCGUGUGUGCUUCAAACCAUUUCACAAGAAAGAUGUAUCAUGUACAUGUGCAUUCAUUAGAGAUGAUACAAACAUUGUGUUUGAUAUAAGGAGAUUCCACUGUUUUCAUUGAUUGAUCAUUUUUGGGUUAUGCAUGUACAUGUAUCAUGCAUAUUAACAAAUUAAGUGAGUUUCAUUGUAAUGACCUACAAUUGAAAUCUGAUCACUUUGGUAUUAUUGUACGCCAUUAUAAUACUGGCAUGUAUACGAAUGGUUCGGAUAUUAUAAUUGCAAAAUGUACAACUACAACUUCCCUUGUGGCGUUUCAUUAACAAAUAUGUAAUUAGCAAAUUGGUCAGAUGAAUCAAAUGAUUUUUUGUUCAAACCAGUUAUUGGUUAUAUAUAUGUAAUUAUUUAGACUAGCUAACGCCGAGGGCGUGUUUUAGAGAUGUUUGAAGCGACAUGGUCGAUGGAAGUCUGAUAGGGCUAAAGAUGGGUGCAUUGAUGAUUCUCUAGACAAAAAGCUUUUUAUCACUAGACAAUUGAAAUUAUAAUUGAUUUGCGGUUCGAAUUUAAAACCUUACUAACCUUUGUUUUUGUUCUAUCGCAAGCCUUGCCCAAUGCAAAACGUGUUGUGUUUUGUGCUUAGUUGUGUGAAGACUUUUCAGUUCUGUGCGUAACGGAGUAUAGCACAGAAUGUAUGUCUAAACAUAACGCACCGCACAAAACAGGUAUAUGUGCGGUUCGUUCAUGCGUGUGGUUGUCACGUUAGUGAUGGUCACUCAGGUGGACAUAGGCGGGAAUUUGCACGGGGUGUUCAUUGUUUGGUCAGUUCUACGCUAGACUUCGAUCAGUAAACUUUUACUUUUUUAUUUUCGAACCGCAUUAGAAGUAAAUUGGCUCAAAUGACAUGUUAUGUUUGUGUUACAUAAUGUUCAGUUACAUGUUAAUAUUGGUUGUUUUCAGGUACAGUUUUCCAGAGUUAUUUUACAUUGGGCUUCUGAUGAAUUUUUAUCUCUGGUUUUUACCCUGGCCAUGAAAACACCAAUUAAGGACACAAUACUAGAAGUGAUGUAUACACAUUAUAGUUAUAAUUUGUUAUAUAAUUUAUAGUUCGAAAAUUGUCCUGUCAAGGUUGUACUACGAUUGUACUUGAUUGCUAUAUGAUACGAAUAUGUAAUAUUCCUGGAUGUGUGUUGUCAAUAAACUGAUCGCAAGCCUUGCCCAAUGCAAAACGUGUUGUUUUGUGCUUAGUUGUGUGAAGACAUUAUGUUCUCGAUUCCAUUUGCUCUCUGUCAGAGUGAAUCUACCCUUUCAUUUUCAAAGUUCCCUAAUGCACAGAGAAACAACUUUACUUGUUACUACAUCAUUACAUCUUCUGUAUCGUUUGAUUACAUCUGACAAAUUACUAUGUCAAUCUUUUGACUGCCUUGUUUUAUAUUGAACUAUGGAUUAUAACCUGUUAAAUUUCACAAUUAUAAAUGACACAUAUAUAAUUUUUUAUAUCCGAAACAAACGAAUCAGAGAGAAAUAUGGGACGUGGGAUUGAAUUUGAAAUUUUGAAGGCAUUUGCAAACAGUUUGGAUCCAGAUGAGACGCCACAGAACGUGGCGUCUCAUCAGGAUCCAAAGUGUUUGCUAUUCUGAUAGUAUUGUAACACAUGUAUACCUUAGUGGGUGGGGUAAUGUUUAUUUACUGUUUGAUAUUUAACCUAUGUUUCGAAUGCUGUCUGCAGUUAAGCUAUAGUAUUGUAUUAGACUCUAAUGAUAACAGACUUGAAAAUUUACCUGGAUUACCAGCUACGUGAUUGUUUGAGUUUAAAUCCAGAUUUUUGUAAAGUUAUUGUACACAUGUUCACUUAGUGUUAUUUAACCCUAGGUAGCGUUGUAGCUGAGAAUGACGACACUAUUACGUAAACAAUCUGCUGUCAACUGUUUGUAUACUGUAUUAAUUUUUAUUGUUUAAAAAUACUAUUUGCAUUUAAAAUAGCAAAUAUGCAGGUAAUUUAUGUAGUAUUAUAUAUUAUAUUGUUAAUACAUAUUGAAAUGUUA
Long non-coding RNA from Dreissena polymorpha, 5870 nucleotides. RefSeq lists it as uncharacterized. The record is from RefSeq and is a predicted model, not a curated record. The transcript is spliced from 2 exons. NCBI's taxonomy places the organism in Eukaryota, Metazoa, Mollusca, Bivalvia, Myida, Dreissenidae.